CGACUACAGCUAGAGAAUUCCCCUAACAUAACAGAAACACACUCUUUAGGUCGAUCAAUUUGGAAGGCAAGACAACAUGUUAUCUCGUCUGACACCAAUAGCGCCUCCAGCUUUCAGUGCUCUUAGACUCUCUCUCACUUCCACUCUCAACCUCUCGACUCCUUUAAACCUUCACAAAAUCUCUACUUGUUCUGCACUUUAUCGUCUCUCCCAGACCUUCAAACCCACUUCGUCCUUUUUGAGCGCCAACCGGGUUCUUCUGCGUGUCAUGGGAAGUCCAGGUCCCAAGGGUUCAGCUUCAUUUAGUGCUGAAAGUAGCUCUGGCGAUGGAAGGGAGAUAUUGGUCCAGCACUUACUUGUUAAAGAAGACAAUCUUAAGCUUCUGUUAGAUCUUCAGCAGAGAGUUUCACGAGGUGAAGACCUCAGUGAUCUUGCUGCAGAGUACUCGAUAUGUCCAUCCAAAGAAGAAGGGGGAAUGCUGGGGUGGGUGAGAAAGGGGCAAAUGGUACCUGAAUUUGAGGAGGCUGCAUUUAGUGCAUCUUUAAACAAAGUUGUUAGGUGUAAAACAAAAUUUGGAUGGCAUUUAUUGCAAGUACUGUCAGAGAGGGAGGAAUCAGUACUUCAAAACAUUCAAUGCAAGGAGCUUCACGUGAAAAUGCAAGAUCCCAGUUUCUUAGAUGAGGCACAGUUGAUUGAUGUUCGAGAACCUGAAGAAGUGGCCCAAGCUUCUUUAUCGGGUUUCCAGGUCCUUCCCCUUCGACAAUUUGGAAGCUGGGGACCUGACAUAACCACGAAGUUCGAUCCUCAAAAGGAUACUUAUGUUAUGUGUCACCAUGGUAUGCGAUCUUUACAGGUUGCCCAGUGGUUGCAGACGCAGAACGAACGCAUUGUGGCAUGCUGGCGCACAAGACCUAACAGUCAAUUUUCCAAUGGACGACAAAAGCAGCUGCAUAUUAUUAACAGCAAAGCAGGGUUAUUUAUAAUUUUAGCACAGCAGUGGAUAUAUGGUCAUGCCGAAAGCAAAUGGAGUUAUGACAUGAUUAAGCUAACAGACUGCCGGUAACCGUUUUGUUUUUCCCGUAAAAAGUUGGGAAAUCGAAAGGGGUAAAGACUGUUUCAAACAGCAACCUUUUUUUCCCUCAGCCCCCAAAACCCAACAUUGCCUGCCCCAUAGCUUGGCCACACGUGAAUCUGAGAGAUCUCUCUCUUGCUCUCUCUCUUUCUCUCUCGCUCUUCCAACAUGGGCAACUGUUGCUCUC
This is an RNA transcript of Rosa rugosa (rugosa rose), 1259 nucleotides long. It is a transcript of the gene named rhodanese-like/PpiC domain-containing protein 12, chloroplastic, with no coding region annotated. The record is from RefSeq and is a predicted model, not a curated record. NCBI's taxonomy places the organism in Eukaryota, Viridiplantae, Streptophyta, Magnoliopsida, Rosales, Rosaceae. The transcript has 9 exons.